Long non-coding RNA from Carassius auratus (goldfish), 3351 nucleotides. RefSeq lists it as uncharacterized. NCBI's taxonomy places the organism in Eukaryota, Metazoa, Chordata, Actinopteri, Cypriniformes, Cyprinidae. The transcript has 6 exons. The record is from RefSeq and is a predicted model, not a curated record.
UUAAAUUUGAAAAUAUGUCCUCUAGGUUGGAGCAGCUGCUUUGCGUUGAUGACUCGGUCAGACCUGGAUUAUUUUAUAUCUGCCUGUUGAAUUCUUACAUUUUGAGCGAAUUUUAGUUGAUAUGUCAAUGAAGAACAAAAGCUGGAAUGUGAACAGAGGAAGGGGUUGUUCGUGGUCUGUAAAUACUGGCGAUAUCAGAUCAAGCAUUGGAAUAAGAUUUUUAUCGGGGGAGGACACCCAACAGAAAGAUGUGAUGUGAAAGAAAUGAUUCACCAACUGGCGCACUGAAACGGGAGAUUCAUGUCACCUUCAUCAGUUCUUUCUUUAAUCACUGGACACCAUUAAGGGAAAGACCCUCAGAUAACAGGAUAAAUGGGGCUGCAGGUUUUGACAGAUUGGACUAGUUAACUUACUUCAACAACUUCUGGUUUGACAAGGAUCAAGAGACCAAGGACCAGGUGGUGAAGGCUGAACCAACAGACCAGACAGCUCUCCCACAGCCAGCCUCUGAACCUGCUCUACAGUCUGAAUAGCCCGGGUGAAGUUAAACUCUCCUUUGCUGGUGACCCAGAUGGCUGAGAACAUGUUAGGCUGGUACCCUGGAAGCUAAGAGGAAAGUGGCAAAGGAGCUCGCAGGCGAGACUGAUGAUUGCAGAGGAGCUGAAACCCACAGAGAACAUGGGUCUCAAUGAACACAAGAUCAAGGCCUGGUGAGAGCCACUACAGAGGAUCAUAGCCAUCAUUGGAAUUCUGAAAGGACGUGGGUGAAUAUCAAUCUGCCAAAUGAACAUUCACAUCUGUAUAUUAAUAAUGAUUAUAUAUGAACUUGUUUGUUUGUUACUGGAAAGAACUUAGCUUCUAUUGCUUUUGACUGAAGGACUUGACCGUGUUUUAAGCCUAUGUGCAUUUUCUAGAUGUUGAGCAUGAACAGUACUUUAAAACAAUGAUUUACUGGGUGACUUUUAUGGCGUUUUUCCAUUACCAGUAUCAGCUUUGGUCGUGCUCCAUUUUCCAUUGCAGAUCAUACCCAGAGAUAGUACCCCUCGAUGCAGAUGGUCGUCAUAGCAAGGCCACACACAACUGCCGCGACGUAAUGUUCAAUGCGACACACACACCUGCGACCCACAUACAGCUGUCUCUUGAUUUAAGUUAAAACCUUUCAGCAUUACUCAGAAUGUAAAGACAGGUACUUAAAGGUGCUCUAAGCGAUGCCGGGAGUCGUAACUUCUUGUUGACGUUCGAAUUAUUGUCAAACAAAACGGAGGCUAGCUAGAUCCUCCCUCCUCCUCCUCGCACUAAUCCCCCAAACCCCACCCCCAAAUCUUUCUUGGUACUUAUUGGCUGGAACAGUUUGUUAUGUUUCGUGGUGCGGGUGAGCCCAGUUUGUUUUUCUUGUUGUUUGUGGAGCCUGUGGUGUCUAGAAAGACCGCGUUUUUUUACAGUGUGUUCAGGGGACAGGCAGCUAGCGGAUAGUGAGGAGAUGUUUGCUGGAUGUGACAAAAAAUGUUUUGGCCUAAAAAACGUGUGACAUCACUUAGAGCACCUUUAAUUAAUAUAACAUUUAAUUUAACUAAAACAAAUAUAAAAAACAUGUCUAAGUCUUCAUCAACACGUCAUACUCCUGGAAAAGACCCACAUAAAGCUAAUAUUUUAAAAUGAUUAAUAUCCACAUCACUGCUGUAUUUUUCAGAUGUAAGAUCAAAUUUAGGGGAACAAGCCUGCAUCCCAAUGUGCACACUAUCCAUCCUAAAUAGUAUAUAAGAAAAUACAGUAUAUAUUUUUUGUACAAUAGUUGUUUUUACAGAACAUCUCUGCAGUGAAUGUUUUUGUUUAAAUAAUUCCAAGGAUAUGAAGUAGAUUAUUAUUUUAACGUUAUUGCAUUGCAUUUCUACGUAGGCCGAUUUUUGAUUCUUUUGACUUUUUUUAUUCCGAUGCGAGUGAUGUACCGUUUUUACACACUUAUCUCAUUAAAAGGGGAAAAGUCUGUCCAUCUUAAUUUCUGAAAAUGUGUAACAUUUGAGACCCCAGCUCGGUCACAUUCAUAUUUCAUUAAUGCUAAUUACAUAACUUGCAGUUCAGAAAGGAGUUACUGUGCAUUCACACCAGACGCGACUUGUGCGAAUAAAGGCCAAUUUAUACUUCUGCGUCGGGUGCGCGUAGUAGGUACGGCGUAGCAUACGCAUUGACGUGUACCAUACGUCGUACCCUUCACCAUACCCUGACGCACACCUCCUCAAAAAUGUAACUACCCGUCGCAAUGACGCGGACUGCAAGAUCUGUGAUUGGUCGGCUUGGUAGUAUCACGUUUCCUCCUACGCAUUACCGGAAUGAUCUUCCGCACUCUGGACCGCCCGCCAUUUUUAAAUUCCGAAAUUCAGUGAAGAGCCAACAUGGAAAUGGACCAAGUGACCGAGCGAUUAUUGAAAAAGUGAGGAAAUACAGCCAUCUGAAUGACUCUUCUUCGGGAGAUUACAAAGACUGCCAGAUGGCAGCGAAUUCAGUCGCCAUUGUUCGUAGAAGCCUGCAAGGAUCGAGUAAUGUAAACACAGUGGAACCCGCCUCUUGUCAACUAACGUUUCGGCGGUGUAACUGCAGAGCAAAACAGACAUAUGCAGAAGUAUAAAUGCUCACGACGGCGUCGCCUACGUGCGUAGCAUACGACAUACACUACGGCGCAUUAUGCGUCGGUGCGUAGCCAAAUGUGUCGUCCUAGUUUUUGAUACGCGACGCGCCGAUGCACGCAAUACUAUGCGUUGUCGGUGUGGGCGACAUUGCAAGUAUUGUACAUUAAUUCAAGUAUAUUAUGUUUACAGAAGAAGAAAGUUUGAAUACAAUGGCUGUUGAAGAGGAAAAAUUAUGCGAGCUUAUACGUAUAACAUACCACCGCCUAUCUCUGCGCUGCCUUUGUUGCCGCCGAUGUAAAAUCAGCAAUAAAAUGCACUCCUCUUCAGUUGUCAUUGUGAUCUGAAUAUCACAUGACCCGACUCUACUAAUAUCACCCGACUCUACUACCCCGUAGCGUGAGCGGUGUAUUGCAUACGCGCAUCGCCCGUGACACUUGCGUCCACUGUUUAGACUAUGAAAGGGAGCGAGUCGCUCGCAUUGCUUGCUCGCGUUGACUAUGUAACGGCCCUAUAUCGUGCUAUUCGCGCGUAGUUGGAUGCUUGAACAUUUUGAGUUUAGACACUUCAUUCGCGCGUGAAAUGAACUUCACAACAGAUGCGAAUUCACGUCAUGGGGGGGGCUUCUGCCGGUUGAGUUCACGCAGCAUUUUCAACCACCAUUUUAUUUGGAUAAUUUUCAAAAUAUUACUGUUAUCGUGUCAUGAAAUUUAGUUUUAAAAGUAUUUCA